ACUGCUCAGUAACACGUGGAUAACCUGCCCUGCGGUGGGAAAUAACCCCGGGAAACUGGGGAUAAUGUCCCAUAGGCUACGGAUGCUGGAAUGCUCUGUAGCUCAAAGAUUUAUCGCCACAGGAUGGGUCUGCGGCCGAUUAGGUAGUUGUUGGGGUAACGGCCCAACAAGCCUUUGAUCGGUACGGGUUGUGGGAGCAAGAGCCCGGAGAUGGAUUCUGAGACACGAAUCCAGGCCCUACGGGGCGCAGCAGGCGCGAAAACUUUACAAUGCGGGAAACCGUGAUAAGGGAACUCCGAGUGUCCGUCAAUGCGGACUGUCCGUAUGUUUAAAAAGCAUGCGAAGAAAGGGCCGGGCAAGACCGGUGCCAGCCGCCGCGGUAAUACCGGCGGCUCGAGUGGUAACCGUUAUUAUUGGGUCUAAAGGGUCUGUAGCCGGCCGGAUAAGUCUCUUGAGAAAUCUGGCAGCUUAACUGUCAGGCUUUCAGGAGAUACUGUCUGGCUCGAGGCCGGGAGAGGUGAGAGGUACUUCAGGGGUAGGGGUGAAAUCUUGUAAUCCUUGAAGGACCACCAGUGGCGAAGGCGUCUCACCAGAACGGACCUGACGGCAAGGGACGAAAGCUAGGGGCACGAACCGGAUUAGAUACCCGGGUAGUCCUAGCCGUAAACGAUACUCGCUAGGUGUCGGCCACGGUGCGACCGUUGUCGGUGCCGUAGGGAAGCCGUGAAGCGAGCCACCUGGGAAGUACGGCCGCAAGGCUGAAACUUAAAGGAAUUGGCGGGGGAGCAC
This 789-nucleotide ribosomal RNA is filed under the name uncultured archaeon. Its description in RNAcentral is "bacterial SSU rRNA". It matches the Rfam family "Archaeal small subunit ribosomal RNA", at positions 85 to 879 of the family's 1478-position model. The record is from RNAcentral.